This 1363-nucleotide ribosomal RNA is filed under the name metagenome. RNAcentral's name for it is "bacterial SSU rRNA". It matches the Rfam family "Bacterial small subunit ribosomal RNA", at positions 11 to 1369 of the family's 1533-position model. The record is from RNAcentral.
GUUUGAUCCUGGCUCAGGUUGAACGCUGGCGGCAUGCCUUACACAUGCAAGUCGAACGGCAGCGCGGACCUCGGUCUGGCGGCGAGUGGCGAACGGGUGAGUAAUGCAUCGGAACGUACCUUUCAGUGGGGGAUAACGUAGCGAAAGUUACGCUAAUACCGCAUAUUCUGUGAGCAGGAAAGCAGGGGAUCGCAAGACCUUGCGCUGAUGGAGCGGCCGAUGUCAGAUUAGCUAGUUGGUGGGGUAAAGGCUCACCAAGGCGACGAUCUGUAGCGGGUCUUAGAGGAUGAUCCGCCACACUGGAACUGAGACACGGUCCAGACUCCUACGGGAGGCAGCAGUGGGGAAUUUUGGACAAUGGGCGCAAGCCUGAUCCAGCCAUGCCGCGUGAGUGAAGAAGGCCUUCGGGUUGUAAAGCUCUUUCGGCCGGGAAAAAAUCGCUUGGGUUAAUACCCUGAGUGGAUGAUGGUACCGGAAUAAGAAGCACCGGCUAACUACGUGCCAGCAGCCCGGUAAUACGUAGGGUGCGGGCGUUAAUCGGAAUUACUGGGCGUAAAGCGUGCGCAGGCGGUUUUGUAAGACAGGCGUGAAAUCCCCGGGCUCAACCUGGGUACUGCGUUUGUGACUGCAAGGCUAGAGUAUGGCAGAGGGGGGUGGAAUUCCACGUGUAGCAGUGAAAUGCGUAGAGAUGUGGAGGAACACCAAUGGCGAAGGCAGCCCCCUGGGCCAAUACUGACGCUCAUGCACGAAAGCGUGGGGAGCAAACAGGAUUAGGUACCCUGGUAGUCCACGCCCUAAACGAUGUCAACUAGGUGUUGGGUGGGUAAAACCAUUUGGUACCGUAGCUAACGCGUGAAGUUGACCGCCUGGGGUGUACGGCCGCAAGGUUAAAACUCAAAGGAAUUGACGGGGACCCGCACAAGCGGUGGAUGAUGUGGAUUAAUUCGAUGCAACGCGAAAAACCUUACCUACCCUUGACAUGCCAGGAACUUGCCAGAGAUGGCUUGGUGCCCGAAAGGGAGCCUGGACACAGGUGCUGCAUGGCUGUCGUCAGCUCGUGUCGUGAGAUGUUGGGUUAAGUCCCGCAACGAGCGCAACCCUUGUCGUUAAUUGCCAUCAUUUAGUUGGGCACUUUAACGAGACUGCCGGUGACAAACCGGAGGAAGGUGGGGAUGACGUCAAGUCCUCAUGGCCCUUAUGGGUAGGGCUUCACACGUCAUACAAUGGUCGGUACAAAGGGUUGCCAAGCCGCGAGGCGGAGCCAAUCCCAGAAAGCCGAUCGUAGUCCGGAUCGCAGGCUGCAACUCGCCUGCGUGAAGUCGGAAUCGCUAGUAAUCGUGGAUCAGCAUGUCACGGUGAAUAC